Molecule: ribosomal RNA, 402 nt
Filed under: uncultured bacterium
Lineage: Bacteria
Description: bacterial SSU rRNA
Rfam family: Bacterial small subunit ribosomal RNA
Source: RNAcentral
UGGGGAAUAUUGGACAAUGGGUGCAAGCCUGAUCCAGCAAUGCCGCGUGAGUGAUGAAGGCCUUAGGGUUGUAAAGCUCUUUCGCACGCGACGAUGAUGACGGUAGCGUGAGAAGAAGCCCCGGCUAACUUCGUGCCAGCAGCCGCGGUAAUACGAAGGGGGCUAGCGUUGUUCGGAAUUACUGGGCGUAAAGGGCGCGUAGGCGGCCUGUUAAGUUAGGAGUGAAAGCCCCGGGCUCAACCUGGGAAUUGCUCUUAAUACUGGCAGGCUUGAGUUCCGGAGAGGAUGGUGGAAUUCCCAGUGUAGAGGUGAAAUUCGUAGAUAUUGGGAAGAACACCGGUGGCGAAGGCGGCCAUCUGGACGGACACUGACGCUGAGGCGCGAAAGCGUGGGGAGCAAACA